CAGAUUUGAUCAUGGCUCAGGAUGAACGCUAGCUACAGGCUUAACACAUGCAAGUCGAGGGGCAGCAUGGACCCAGCUUUGCUGGGUUUGAUGGCGACCGGCGCACGGGUGAGUAACGCGUAUCCAACCUGCCCUUUACUCCGGGAUAGUCUCCUGAAAGGGAGUUUAAUACCGGAUGUGUUUGUCUUUCCGCAUGGGAGCGACAAAUAAAGAUUGAUUGGUAAAGGAUGGGGAUGCGUCCCAUUAG
Molecule: ribosomal RNA, 247 nt
Filed under: uncultured bacterium
Lineage: Bacteria
Description: partial 16S ribosomal RNA
Rfam family: Bacterial small subunit ribosomal RNA
Source: RNAcentral